CCCUUAGAUGUUCUGGGCCGCACGCGCGCUACACUGAUGCAUUCAACGAGUUUUGCCUUGACCGAAAGGUCCGGGAAAUCUUCGAACUUGCAUCGUGAUGGGGAUAGAUUAUUGCAACUAUUAAUCUUCAACGAGGAAUACCUAGUAGGCGUGUGUCAUCAGCGCGCGUCGAUUACGUCCCUGCCCUUUGUACACACCGCCCGUCGCUCCUACCGAUUGGAUGGUCCGGUGAAGCCUCGGGAUUGUGGUUCUUGCCGCUUUAUUGUGGCGUGACCGCGAGAACUUGUCUAAACCUUAUCAUCUAGAGGAAGGUGAAGUCGUANCA
RNAcentral lists this ribosomal RNA (325 nucleotides) under uncultured eukaryote. RNAcentral's name for it is "partial 18S ribosomal RNA". It matches the Rfam family "Eukaryotic small subunit ribosomal RNA", at positions 1470 to 1796 of the family's 1831-position model. The record is from RNAcentral.